Long non-coding RNA from Thunnus maccoyii (southern bluefin tuna), 505 nucleotides. RefSeq lists it as uncharacterized. The transcript is spliced from 3 exons. NCBI's taxonomy places the organism in Eukaryota, Metazoa, Chordata, Actinopteri, Scombriformes, Scombridae. The record is from RefSeq and is a predicted model, not a curated record.
AGCGGAGCGAUGCGCUCCAGCACCGGGUAGACCCACACGCCCGUCACCUGGUGCACCCAACACGUCCUGGAGGAGGAGGGGGGAGAAAACGGUGUUAACUGGUGAUGGAAUUAAGAAACACUCGGUACCAGAGGAUGUAUCCCAAACCGAAGAAGCAAACUGCCGCCAGACCCCACGACCUGCUGGGAUACCGAUGGCUUUCCCCUCGGAGGAUUUGAAAAGGUCAGACUGAAGAUGCCAAGUAUGUGCAAACUAACAAGAGUAACAACGUCUCAGUGCUCUCAGACGAGGACAGAAUAGCUUUCUCUCCUGGGGUCUUAAAUUCUAGGUUUCCCUCCCAUCAUUAUACUGUACACACACACACACACACACACACACAUCCUGACGCUGCACUUUUACCCAGUAUAUCUCGGUGGAAUUCCAGUCUCUUGGUCGUGUUUAAGUUUAGUCUCUGCUGAGAGGACUCGCCGCUCGUAAAUAAUACUCCCUUUAUUCUCGCUGUCCC